GUUCUUGUAGCUUACAAAAAGCAUGACACUGAAGAUGUCAAGACGGUUGCCAUCCGCACCCAAGAGCA
This 68-nucleotide transfer RNA is filed under the name Tychaedon coryphoeus (Karoo scrub-robin). Its description in RNAcentral is "Cercotrichas coryphoeus (Karoo scrub-robin) tRNA-Phe". The record is from RNAcentral. Lineage: Eukaryota; Metazoa; Chordata; Aves; Passeriformes; Muscicapidae.